GGUUUGAUUCUGGCUCAGAUUGAACGCUGGCGGAUGCUUUACAUGCAAGUCGAACGGCAGCACGGACUUUCGGUCUGGUGGCGAGUGGCGAACGGGUGAGUAAUGUAUCGGAACGUGCCUAGUAGCGGGAUAACUACGCGAAAGCGUAGCCAAUACCGCAUACCCUCUGGGAAAGCGGGGGACCUUCGGGCCUCGCACUAUUAGAGCGGCCGAUAUCGAUUAGUUAGUUGGUGGGGUAACGGCUCACUCAAGGCGACGAUCCGUAGCUGGUUUGAGGACGACCAGCCACACUGGGACCGAGACACGGCCCAGACUCCUACGGGAGGCAGUGGGGAAUUUUGACAAUGGGGAAACCCCUGAUCCAGCCAUCCCGCGUGUGCGAUGAAGGCCUUCGGGUUGUAAAGCACUUUGGUGCAGGAAAGAAACGGCAUCGGGAUAUCACCCCGUGCAACUGACGGUACCUGCAGAAUAAGCACCGGCUAAAUUGCCGCCAGCAGCCGCAUACGUAGGGUGGUGCGUUAAUCGAAUUACUGGUGUGAAGCGUGCGCAGGCGGUUCGGAAAGAAAGAUGUGAAAUCCCAGAGCUUAACUUUGAACUCGUAUUUUUAACUACCGAGCUAGAGGUGUCGAGAGGUGGAAUUUCCGCGUGUGCAGGUGAAAUGCAGAUAUGCGGAGGAACACCGGAUGCGAAGGCAGCUUCUGGGAUAAUGACCGACGCUCAUGUACGAAAGCGUGGGGAGCAAACAGAUUAGAUACUCCUUGGUAGUCAUUGCCUGCAACGAUGUCAACUAGCUGCUGGGGCCUUCGGGCCUUGCAGCGGAAAUAACGCGAAGUUGACCGCCUGGGAGUAUGGUCGCAAGAUUGAAAACCAAAGAAUUGACGGACUCCGGCCAGCGGUGAUGCCGGGAUUGAAUUCGAUGCAACGGCGGCGAAACCCUAUUUCACCUGACAGGUCUGGGAAUCGAAGAGAUUUGGUGCUCGGCAAGAGAACCGGAACACAGGUGCCGUAUGGCUGUCGUCAGCUCGUGUCGAGAUGCUGGGUUAAGUCUCGCAACGAGCGCAACCUUGUCAUUGGUUGCUACGAAAGGGCACUCUAAUGAGACUGGCCGGUGACAAAACCGAGGAAGGUGGGGAUGACGUCAAGUCCUCGUCUUUAAUAUGGUAGGCUUCGACGUCAUACAAUGGUCGGGACAGAGGGUCGCCAACCCGCGAGGGGGAGCCAAUCCCAGAAACCCGAUCAGAACUGGAUCGCAGUUCGCAACUCGACUGCGUGAAGUCGGAAUCGCUAGUAAUCGCGGAUCAGCAUGUCAGCAUGAAUACGUUCCGGGUCUUGUACACACUGCCCGUCACACCAUGAGUGGGUUUUACCAGAAGCAGUUAGCCUAACCGCGAGGGCGAUUACCAUUUUCGGUAGGAUUCAUGACUGGGGUGAAGUCGUAACAA
Molecule: ribosomal RNA, 1442 nt
Filed under: uncultured Bordetella sp.
Lineage: Bacteria; Pseudomonadati; Pseudomonadota; Betaproteobacteria; Burkholderiales; Alcaligenaceae
Description: partial 16S-23S ribosomal RNA intergenic spacer
Rfam family: Bacterial small subunit ribosomal RNA
Source: RNAcentral